This is an RNA transcript of Oreochromis niloticus (Nile tilapia), 4223 nucleotides long. RefSeq lists it as uncharacterized. The transcript has 3 exons. Lineage: Eukaryota; Metazoa; Chordata; Actinopteri; Cichliformes; Cichlidae. The record is from RefSeq and is a predicted model, not a curated record.
CCAUUCACACACACAUUCACACAUAAUUAUGAUGAAGGUGACCUCCCAGCCCAUUGUUCCUUCAGUGGGCUGGUUUCAGUCAUUAAGCAAAUGUACGGUUUAUAAGAUCGUGGAAACCUGCAGUCAGCUGAGACUGAAGAAGUCACUUGGAUCAGUGAUGAAACGUUUCUCCCACAAAACGCUACGUCCAGAUGAACAGAAUCAACUUUUGGAGAGAACCAAAAAUUCCCACCAAGGGGGAAGGCGAGAUGUUAUAGGCAUAGGCUUUGGAGAUGACUUCAAAAAAUGAUGACCAGAAAGGAGCAAUUUUUGGACAGGACCAAAACAUAUGAAGGGAAGUAGCUGGAGUCUGUUUACAUCCAUCCACGAUGAGUCAAUGUUUGGAAAUAUUUUUGCUAGUUUAGCUUUUGAGAAAUGUAACCUGUGUAACACUUUGAAUUGUAUGAAGGAGUGUCUUAAACAUAUAGAAGACGAGUGGACCCUGGUAAGAGCCAUAUCCCACUCUUCGUCAGACAGCUGGGCACCCAAAUCAUUCUCCCACUGUUCUGGAAUGUAUGAAAUAGACAGGUUACAACUAUCCAUGAUAGGUGAGUAAAUAAACGAUAUUCUGCCUUUUUUCAUCUCAUUGACCCUUAAUAUAGAAUCCAAACAGGAAGGAUGGGGGAGAGUAGGAAAAUUAGCAACCUUUUUAUGUAUAAAAUUGGUUAUUAGUCAGACCAAAUUUCCUAGAUAGUUGUUCGAAGCUAGCAUACGUAUCAUUAAUAUACAAAUCCUCAAUACUGUGAAUGCCCCUGUCGUACCAAAUUUUGAAGCCAUUGUCCAUUGGCGAUGGUUGAAAAAGAUGGUUACGUAUUAUUGGAGAGUGAAUAGAAAUACUCUGAAUACCCAGAUGUUUUUUAAACUGAUGUACAAUGUGUAGAGAUUGAGUAACCAUUAUGUUAUCUUUAAUAUUAUUAACUAAAGGUGGUAGGGGUGCACAGAGUAAAGCUGGGAGAGAAUGCAGCCUGCUUGUGACCCUUUCAAUCUGUAGCCACGCAGGGAUCUGAUCAUUCCAGUCCUUUAGCCAUAGAGAGAUGGCAUUGAGAUUUGCCGCCCAAUAAUAUGUGCACAGGUUUGGCAGUGAGAGCCCACCUAUAUUUUUUGGUCUUUCCAUAAAUUCUUUUCUUAUACGAGGCGUUUUAUUAUUCCAUAAAGGAAGAAACCAUUCGAUUAAAUGACAUGAAAAAAGAUUUUGGUAACGCCUGUAAUAAAUAUAGAAUUUUUGGCACAAUAUUCAUCUUUACAGAAUUAGCUCUCCCAAUAAGAGAUAAUGGUAAAAUAGACCAUCUUUUAAUAUCUUGUUUGCACUGUUCCAAUAGAGGAGUGAGGUUAAUUUUAAACAGACUGUAAUAGGAUUUGGUGACUUCUACACCCAGAUAUGUAAAGGACUCGGUAGACAACUUAAAUGGCAGAUUGGGGUAUUGUCCUGCAUUAUUACUAAUGGGGAAGUAUUCACUUUUAGCUAAAUUUAGUUUGUAUCCAGAUAUGCUUGAAAUUCCUGUAAGACUCUGAGGAUUUCAGGGGUAGAUGUGAUUGGAUUUGUUACAUAUAACAACAAAUCAUCCGUAUACAGUGACACAAUGUGAGUUAUGCCACCACGUGAGAUACCUUGUAUACUAUUAUUGCUUCUAAGAGCUAUUGCAAGUGGCUCUAUAGCUAAAACAAAAAGUAAUGGACUCACUGGAUCCCCCUGCUUGGUCCCUCUGUGAAGAGGAAAAGGCUGAGAUACUGUUGGCAUAGACUGAAGCAGUCGAAUUAGUGUAAAUGAGCUUGAUACAACGAAUAAAGUUAGGACCAAAACCAAACCUCCAAAGUGUGUGAAAAAGAUAAUCCCACUCAAUCCGAUCAAACGCCUUUUCAGCGUCAAGUGAUAUUACUGCUUCAGGGGAUGGAGUAUCAGCCUCAGUAUAGAUGAUAUUAAACAGUCGUCUCAGGUUAAAAUAGGAUUGUCUACCCUGAACGAACCCAGUCUGGUCCCCCGAAAUAAUACGAGGAAGAAUUUUCUCAAGUCGGAGUGCACUUUGCCAUCACAGUUUGUUAAGCUGAUUGGUCUAUAGAAUGAGCAAUCUCAGGGGUCCUUAUUCUUCUUUAAUAAGAGUGUAAUAGAUGCCUGCUGAAGCGUAGGCGGAAGAAUGUUAUUCUCUAUUGCUUCUGUGUCAACCAAGAGAAGAAGAGGGGCAAGUUUGUCCAUAAAUUUCUUAUAAAAAUCAGUUGGAAACCCGUCCGGAUCGGGGGCUUUUCCACUCUGAAGGGACAUUAUUGCAUUUUUAAUUUCUUCCAGUGUCAGACUUUGUUCCAAUCGUUCUUUCGAGUCAGAGUCAAUUGUAGAAAUAUUCAGAUUGGAUGAAAAAAAAAAAGGCGUCAAACUUAUUUUGAGCUGAUGCUGAAUCUGAAGAAUAUAAUUUAGCAUAAAACUCUCUAAAAUAGUUGUUAAUAGCUCGAUGAUCCUCAGUUGAUGAGCCAUCUGAUGAGAUAAGUUGUGAAAUAACACGGGAUGCUGCUUUUUGGCAGAGCUGGCUAGCUAAUAAUUUGGACGGUUUAUCUCCCUCUUUGUACAAUCUACUACGGGAUUUAAAAAUGAGCUUCUCUGCUUGGGUGGUAGUUAAUAGAUCGAUUUCAGUUUGUAAGGCCACUCUCCACUUAAGCUGGGCAGACACUGUGCGAUUUUUUUCAGUUGCGUUAUUCAGCUCCUGCUCAAGUUGUACGAUUGAAUCGCAGGGGUUAGAAGUUCGUAGGUCACGAUGCACUGAUGCAACCUGAGUGCUCACACUGUGCAUACAUACACAACACGUCGUGUUCUUGUUUCCGGAAGAGGAACCCGGAAGUCAACCUCCAAUAAACAAUAUAAAGAAGAAGAAGAAGAAUCUGGAAGUGGGGAGACGGUAAUCUGAGAAUUUGAAAAUGCUCACCAAAGAGAAAUGCGCUGCCUUAGCAAUGUGUGCCAUUCUGUGUGCAGAAAGAUCUAAAAAGAAAAGCGAUUGGGUGUAUGGACAAGGAAAUGGCUGGGCAAAUGUGGGCAGUACGGUCUGUCAAUUCUACAACGAGAACUGGAGGUAGAUGAUAUGAGGGGUUUUCGGGACCUUCUCCGAAUGUCUGUGGAGGACUUUAACUGUGGAGGGUUAGUCCUGCUAUCAUCAAGAAGGAUACACACCUCAGGAAGCCCAUCAGCCCCAGGGAAAGGCUUUUGGUUACCCUACGAUUUUUGGCAACAGCCAAGUGUGUGGACAUGAAAAUUCUGUAAUGCUCCCUAUAAACUCCCUUAAACUAUAGAAUGCUGGGUAUGAGGCAAGGUCAUCUAUCUAUAUCACAUGAAGAAAUCAGUUCACCCAUGCAAGUACAUACAUAUUUUUGCUUUUCUACAUCAGUUACACUGGCCCUGUAACUGCAAGUCUAUCUAUCCACCUACACACUACGACUAUGUUCAUACUACAUAAGCUACUACUACUGCAUUCUAUUCUACAUCCAUCCAUGUCCACUAUCCCUUACAUUAACCAUCUAAAUCCACCUGACACUAUUUAAGACACUUUGUUCUAUGAGACAGGUGAAACCUUCAACUCAUUAAGUUUCCAGUGUAGGAUUGGAAGCACCACACUGAGCAGGAUUGUCAUGGAAACAUGCACAGCUCUUACCUGUGCACUGCAUGAAGAUUACUUGAAGACACCAUCAACUGAGUCUGAGUGGAAGGCCAUUGCCAGAGACUUUGCAAACAAGUGGGAGUUUCCACACUGCCUGGGGGCUAUAGAUGGGAAGCACAUCUUCAUCCAACCCCCUCCCAAGAGUGGCAGCAUGUAUUUUAACUACAAGUCCAGGUUUUCUAUCAUCCUUAUGGCUGUAGUUGAUGCCAAUUACAAGUUUGUGUAUGCAAGCAUAGGGACACAGGGUAGGGUGUCUGAUGUGGGAGUGUUUGCCCAUUCAGACCUGAAAGAAGCAAUGGACACAGGCACGCUGAACUUUCCCCCUGCUGAUACCCUGCCAGGCACUGAUGCUAUGAUGCCACACAUGCUAAUUGGAGAUGAUGCUUAUCCCCUCCGACCAGAUCUCAUGAAACCAUAUCCAUUUCGAAAUCUUAACACCAAUCAGAGAAUAUACAACUACCGUCUGUCCAGAGCCGUGUUGUGGAGAACACUUUCGGAAUUUUGGCAAAUCGCUUCAGAGUUUUCAGAACAACAAUUUGACUGGACCCA